This is a long non-coding RNA of Dermochelys coriacea (leatherback sea turtle), 879 nucleotides long. RefSeq lists it as uncharacterized. NCBI's taxonomy places the organism in Eukaryota, Metazoa, Chordata, Testudines, Dermochelyidae. The transcript is spliced from 2 exons. The record is from RefSeq and is a predicted model, not a curated record.
CUACUCAGCUGGUAUGUACCGCGUCAGGUGCAGGCACAUCCCUACCAGAUGUUGAUCAUCUCAGUUACCCUGCAGUCAACCUUGAUUCACACUCACCCGGUGUACAGGCUGGAACAGGAGAAUCCCAGUUUCCGUCAUCUUGGCACUGAAUCAGACGGCUGCCGUUUAGGGUGUAGCCAGGAUCACAUUCAAACCUAACCGUGUCCUUGGGUCUAUAGACAGGUCCAUGUUCAGCUACUUUUCUUCCAUUCUGGAUUUCUGGGGUGCUGCAGAGAACCUCUGAAAUUGAAAAGGCGCAGAAAGCAUCAGCAUGCACUGCUGUUCAAUGGGCGCUUGGCACCUGUGCUCUGGACUGGCUGAGAAGAGUUUAUGGUGUUGCUUUUAACCUCUAAAAUGCAAACAGUAUAGUGCAAGCCUUCUUAAAACCACAUCCCAUGAGGUACCGUACUGCUCCUCUCGUGGUGAAUAGAGACCCCAGAAUGAUCCCUCUUAGUGACAGAGAGAGCAGGGCUGGUGGGAGAGCUCCCUGUGAGGGACUCUCAUUUUGGUGCCAUGGUCUUUAACAAUACUGGCCUGUUCGCCUUUGGGGGACACACUUUCCUCUUUUAUAGUGUGUAACGAGGCAAGGGUGGGGAUCGCGUGCCUGUCUGUGAGCGUGAGGGGAGCGUGGAGAUUAGUUGCUAGUGUUUCUAAUUUAUGUCAAGGGUGCCUCGGGUUUCAGACAGCUGCAGCUUUUUAAUGUUUCACUAAUGUGGUGCGUAUGUGUGCACAGGAGUGCAGAGCUUGCAUUUAGCACAUUUAUUUUCAAAAGCAUUUAUUUCACCCUGUGUCUAAUUAUAUAGAGUUUUAAUUCCUUGCUAUUAAAUUUGUUGCACUUGU